RNAcentral lists this ribosomal RNA (1434 nucleotides) under metagenome. Its description in RNAcentral is "SSU rRNA". It matches the Rfam family "Eukaryotic small subunit ribosomal RNA", at positions 370 to 1801 of the family's 1831-position model. The record is from RNAcentral.
UCAGGGUUUGAUUUCGGAGAAGGAGCCUGAGAGACGGCUACUACAUCUAAGGAAGGCAGCAGGCGCGCAAAUUUCCCACUAUUCAUAGAAUGAGGAAGUGACGAUCAAUAACAAUGUGUGUUUCAUUAGAAAUAUGCAAUUGGAAUGACUACAAUUUAAAGAGUUUAAGGAGGAUCAAUUGGAGGGCAAGUCUGGUGCCAGCAGCCGCGGUAAUUCCAGCUCCAAUAGGAUAUAUCAAAGUUGUUGCAGUUGAAAAGCUCGUAGUUGAAUUUUUGGUGGGUAGAUGUUUGUUUUUCUUGUUGUUAAGAUAAUAAAAAUGAACCGCCCGCCACAUUGUGGAAUUCUUCUUUGUUUCGUUGGUUUACUCUAAUUGAAUAAAGAACCACUCCGUCACUGAGAGCAAAUUGGAGUGCUCAAAGCAGGCUUUAUAGCUUUGAACAUAUUAGCUUGGAAUGACAAUUUAGGACUUGACGUUCAUUUUGUUGGUUAUUGAGAUGUUAGUAAUGUUUAAUAGGAACAGUUGCGGGGGUACUCGUACUGGAAAGUCAGAGGUGAAAUUCUUGGAUUUUUCCACGACGAACGACUGCGAAAGCAUUUACCAAGGAUGUUUUCAUUAAUCAAGAUCGAAAGUGCGAGGAUCGAAGAUGAUUAGAUACCAUCGUAGUUCGCACCUUAAACGAUGCCGACUCGGGAUUAUCUUGUUUAUUUAAAUAAAAUAUAAUACAUGAUAGUACCGUAUGAGAAAUCAAAGUCUUUGGGUUCCGGGGGGAGUAUGGUCGCAAGGUUGAAACUUAAAGGAAUUGACGGAACGACACACCAGAGGUGGAGCCUGCGGUUUAAUUUGACCCAACACGGGGAAACUUACCAGGUCCAGACAUGAUGAGGAUUGACAGUUUGAAAGCACUUUCCUGAUUUCAUGGGUGGUGGUGCAUGGCCGUUCUUAGUUGGUGGAGUGAUUUGUCUGGUUGAUUCCGAUAACGAACGAGACGCUCAAAGUUAACUAGUUUUAGGUAAUUUACAUUAUUUAAAACUUCUUCACUUGACAACUUGGUUUGACCAAGAGGAAGCCGAGCGCAAUAACAGGUCUGUGAUGCCCUUCGAUGUUCUGGGCUACACGCGCGCUACAAUGACGAUUUCAACGAGUUUAUUUAACCUUAUCUGGAAAGAUAUUUGGGUAAUCUUUGAAAUAUUCGUCGUGAUGGGGCUAGAUUUUUGCAAUUAUUAAUCUUCAACGAGGAAUCUCUAGUAUGUGCAAGUCAUCAGCUUGCGCAGAAUGCGUCCCUGUCGUUUGUACACACCGCCCGUCGCAGCUAUCGAUUGGACGAUCCGGCAAGAAGUUUGGAAUUGUUUAGUUUGAUCAUUUCGGUGAUUUUAUUAGAUGAUGAAGUUCUUCAAACCUUAUCGUCUAGAGAAAGCUGAAGUCGUAACAAGGUU